AUGCUCGCUUUGACAGCUCAUACACUAAAAAUGGAACCAUAUAGGGAAGACUAUCAUGGCUUGUGCACAGCGAUGACAGGCAAAUUUGUGAAGCAUUCCAUAUUUUU
Molecule: small nuclear RNA, 107 nt
Filed under: Chlorocebus sabaeus (green monkey)
Lineage: Eukaryota; Metazoa; Chordata; Mammalia; Primates; Cercopithecidae
Source: RNAcentral